AUACGGAGGAUCCGAGCGUUAUCCGGAUUUAUUGGGUUUAAAGGGUGCGUAGGCGGCCUUUUAAGUCAGCGGUGAAAGUCUGUGGCUCAACCAUAGAAUUGCCGUUGAAACUGGGAGGCUUGAGUAUGUUUGAGGCAGGCGGAAUGCGUGGUGUAGCGGUGAAAUGCUUAGAUAUCACGCAGAACCCCGAUUGCGAAGGCAGCCUGCAAGCCAUGACUGACGCUGAUGCACGAAAGCGUGGGGAUCAAACAGGAUUAGAUACCCUGGUAGUCCACGCAGUAAACGAUGAUCACUAGCUGUUUGCGAUACAGUGUAAGCGGCACAGCGAAAGCGUUAAGUGAUCCACCUGGGGAGUACGCCGGCAACGGUGAAACUCAAAUGAAUUGACGGGG
RNAcentral lists this ribosomal RNA (392 nucleotides) under uncultured bacterium. RNAcentral describes it as "partial 16S ribosomal RNA". It matches the Rfam family "Bacterial small subunit ribosomal RNA", at positions 523 to 918 of the family's 1533-position model. The record is from RNAcentral.